CCUUCUCAAAAACCCAGUCUCUUCUCCCCCUUCUCAAGAAACCAGACUCUCGAAACCCCUCGUUCCCAAUCGCUAAACCGCUCGUGCUUCUCUUCUCUUCCUCUCGCUGCAAUUGUCGCCCCAAUCGCUGAACCAUGCCAUCGCGGCCUCAACAGGGUGUUAUUUAUCCCUUCGAUGGGGAAUGCUGCAUUUGCCUCCAGCCUUUUCAGUUCGGGGAGGUGGUGUCUUUUCCGUGCUCGGAAAACCACCACAUGCAUGGUGAUUGUUACAUCUUCGGUUGGGAGGUCCAGCUUUCAGAGAAAGGCCUUGACUAGUCGCACUGUCCUUUCUGCCAACAAGAGAUUCACUUCCGACGAUAUCACUGCUUCAUCCAUAAAGAGAGCGGGCUCAUACCGGCGGUGAACAUACCUACAAAUCCUCCGCCUCCACCGGCGGUUCCUCGCCUCGUGGUCCCUCCCCCUCCCCCUCCCCGUCUUCCCCGCCGCCCUCUCGGUAUCCCGAGGCCGCCGGCGUCCCCGAUACCGGCGAAUGUGGAGAACCGCAUCCGGCGGCCGCGGGCAUCCAGGGGCCCAUACCUGCCCGGCCACCAGAGGGUACUAUAUCUAGCUAACUCUUAUGUUGGCCCUGACCCGGGGUAUGAGGCCCUCAACAAAGGCUUGGAGAUUACCCUCUGCAGACCGCUAUUUGUAAGUUGACUCAUUCUAGUGCUUGUUUGUUCGUGAUUGUGGUGGUCAACAGUGGCGGAGGCAGGAGUGUAUAUAAAUGGGGGCAAAAAAUUUUCUUUCUUUCUGCCUCUCCUCUACUCGGCAGAGCUUCGGUGCAGACUACUGGAACCGGCCUAAGGCCAAACCCGAACCUGAACCCUAAUGAAAUAAAUCAAUUUUCUCCACUUGGUCGGUGCCGUUAGAAGAGUGGCUGAUGUGGAGGAGAUCAAGACCCGAUAGGGGAAGAAGGCGUUGUGCACUGAGGAACUGAGGGAGAGGAAUUGAGGGAGUGCCGAACCGAGGGAAGAGGAAGAAGAUGAAGAAGAAUAUGAAGAAAAAGGGAGAGAAAAAAAACUGAAGAAUAAUGAGAUAGAGAGGAGAACAAGAGUUGAGAAAGAUUGAUAAAAAAAAAAAAAAAAACACACACACACACACAGAGAGUAAAGAUGAUGAUGGGGAGAUGAUCGAUCUCUAGUUUUUGGAGGAGAAGCAGAGUUGGGGUUGACUGGCUGUGGAAGAAGAAGAAGAACUGAAGAAGAGAGCAGAAGAAGAGAGAAGGAAAUGAAUUGUUUUGCUAAGGUAGAGGAAUAAUGGAAUUUUUAUAUUGCCACUUGGAGAAGUAGUGGAGUACCCAAGUUAUUAUUAAUAUGUAUUAACAUGAUCAGUGAAGCAUGGGGGCGAGUCAAAAGAAGCAUGGGGCAAAAAGAUGAUUAAUGAACAAAAUAUAUGAUUUCAUUGGGGGCCACUGCCCCCACUCGGCUUGAACUGGCUCCGCCCCUGGUGGUCAAUUAGAGUUCUUACUGUAAUAGAUUGUUAUUAUUAUUAAUAUUUUGGAUCAAAUCACGUUUGAAUUCUUAAUGUUAAUAUAUUACAUGUCAUUCUUCA
Molecule: long non-coding RNA, 1589 nt
Organism: Rosa rugosa (rugosa rose)
Lineage: Eukaryota; Viridiplantae; Streptophyta; Magnoliopsida; Rosales; Rosaceae
Exons: 2
Source: RefSeq, a predicted model, not a curated record